Wyeomyia smithii (pitcher-plant mosquito) is the source of this 258-nucleotide long non-coding RNA. RefSeq lists it as uncharacterized. The transcript has 2 exons. The record is from RefSeq and is a predicted model, not a curated record. Lineage: Eukaryota; Metazoa; Arthropoda; Insecta; Diptera; Culicidae.
UAGCUCGUGGCCAUAGGCAGGAACGUUUAAUCUAUUUCUUCUCGCGUUGUAAUCUCGGUGGUUGUACUCCGUGUAUUGGUUUUCGUACCUCAAUCCCUCCCCCAUACAAAUUUUAUUGGUGUAAACUACGCUAAAAAGUCGGAGGCAUGAAACACACCCAACCGGUUCCCUUGCAGAUCCUCGAGAUCGUAACAAACGGAUCCUAUUUUUCCUCUUACUUUAGCCGGGGCGAAUACAUCUGCCAGUUUGGCUGAGAAA